ACGCAGCGAAAUGCGAUAAGUAAUGUGAAUUGCAGAAUUCAGUGAAUCAUCGAAUCUUUGAACGCACAUUGCGCCCGCCAGUAUUCUGGCGGGCAUGCCUGUUCGAGCGUCAUUUCAACCAUCAAGCCCCCGGCUUGUGUUGGGGACCUGCGGCUGCC
RNAcentral lists this ribosomal RNA (158 nucleotides) under Ovatospora brasiliensis. RNAcentral's name for it is "5.8S ribosomal RNA". The stretch from base 1 to 112 matches the Rfam family "5.8S ribosomal RNA", at positions 43 to 154 of the family's 154-position model. Rfam says of the family: 5.8S ribosomal RNA (5.8S rRNA) is a component of the large subunit of the eukaryotic ribosome. It is transcribed by RNA polymerase I as part of the 45S precursor that also contains 18S and 28S rRNA. Lineage: Eukaryota; Fungi; Ascomycota; Sordariomycetes; Sordariales; Chaetomiaceae. The record is from RNAcentral.